RNAcentral lists this ribosomal RNA (462 nucleotides) under uncultured bacterium. Its description in RNAcentral is "partial 16S ribosomal RNA". It matches the Rfam family "Bacterial small subunit ribosomal RNA", at positions 28 to 507 of the family's 1533-position model. The record is from RNAcentral.
GACGAACGCUGGCGGCGUGCUUAACACAUGCGAGUCGAGCGGAAAGGCCCUUCGGGGUCCUCGAGCGGCGAACGGGUGAGUAACACGUGAGUAACCUGCCCUAGGCUUUGGGAUAACCCCGGGAAACCGGGGCUAAUACCGGAUAUGACCUGGUGCCGCAUGGUGUUGGGUGGAAAGUUUUUUCGGCCUGGGAUGGGCUCGCGGCCUAUCAGCUUGUUGGUGGGGUGAUGGCCUACCAAGGCGAUGACGGGUAGCCGGCCUGAGAGGGCGACCGGCCACACUGGGACUGAGACACGGCCCAGACUCCUACGGGAGGCAGCAGUGGGGAAUAUUGCACAAUGGGCGGAAGCCUGAUGCAGCGACGCCGUGUGAGGGAUGAAGGCCUUCGGGUUGUAAACCUCUUUCAGCAGGGACGAAGCGUGAGUGACGGUACCUGCAGAAGAAGCGCCGGCCAACUACGUG